Molecule: ribosomal RNA, 538 nt
Filed under: uncultured Microcoleus sp.
Lineage: Bacteria; Bacillati; Cyanobacteriota; Cyanophyceae; Oscillatoriales; Microcoleaceae
Description: bacterial SSU rRNA
Rfam family: Bacterial small subunit ribosomal RNA
Source: RNAcentral
GGUACGGUGAAAUGCGUAGACGAUCAGGAAGAACGAUCGGUGGCGAAGGCGCUCUGCUGGACCAUAACUGACACUCAGGGACGAAAGCUAGGGGAGCGAAUGGGAUUAGAUACCCCAGUAGUCCUAGCCGUAAACGAUGGAUACUAGGUGUUGUCUGUAUCGACCCGGACAGUGCCGUAGCUAACGCGUUAAGUAUCCCGCCUGGGGAGUACGCACGCAAGUGUGAAACUCAAAGGAAUUGACGGGGCCCGCACAAGCGGUGGAGUAUGUGGUUUAAAUUCGAAGCAACGCGAAGAACCUUACCAGGUCUUGACAUCUAGUGCCAUCCUAAGAGAUUAGGAGUUCCCUUCGGGGACGCUAAGACAGGUGCUGCAUGGCUGUCGUCAGCUCGUGUCGUGAGAUGUUGGGUUAAGUCCCGCAACGAGCGCAACCCUUGUUAUUAGUUGCCAGCAUUAAGUUGGGCACUCUAGACUGACUGCCGGUGACAAACCGGAGGAAGGUGGGGACGACGUCAAAUCAUCAUGCCCCUUAUGAUUUG